CUUUGAUAAAGGCAACUUUAUCGAAAGAUAAAGGCGCAAAACUACGGGCCUAAAGCGACAUAACGCAAUGGUUGCCGGGUUGCCGAA
This 87-nucleotide non-coding RNA is filed under the name Thermincola carboxydiphila JR. Its description in RNAcentral is "Thermincola potens JR c-di-GMP-I riboswitch aptamer". It matches the Rfam family "c-di-GMP-I riboswitch aptamer". Rfam says of the family: GEMM was predicted in a large-scale screen for bacterial structured RNA regulatory elements. The record is from Rfam by way of RNAcentral. RNAcentral also lists the same sequence under 1 other name. Lineage: Bacteria; Bacillati; Bacillota; Clostridia; Eubacteriales; Thermincolaceae.